Chlorocebus sabaeus (green monkey) is the source of this 1309-nucleotide non-coding RNA. Lineage: Eukaryota; Metazoa; Chordata; Mammalia; Primates; Cercopithecidae. The record is from RefSeq and is a predicted model, not a curated record.
AGCAAGACAUGAGACCUCUACCUACUCACUCAGAAUCAUUUCUGCACCAACCAUGGCCACCUUCGUAGAGCUCAGUACCAAAGCCGAGAUGCCCACUGUGGGCCUGGGCACUUAGAAGUCUCCUCUCAGCAAAAUGAAAGAAGUGGUGAAGGUGGCCAUUGAUGCAGGAUAUCGCCACAUUGACUGUGCCUAUGUCAAACAGAAUGAACAUGAGGUGGGGGAAGUCAUCCAAGAGAAGGCUGUGAAGUGGGAAGACCUCUUCAUCAUCAACAAGUUGUGGUCCACUUUCUUUGAGAGACCCCUUGUGAGGAAGGCCUAUGAGAAGACCCUCAAGGACCUGAAGCUUAGCUAUCUGGAUGUCUAUCUUAUUCACUAGCCACAGGGAUUCAAGUCUGGGGAUGACUUUUUCCCAAAAGAUGAUAAAGGUAAUAUGAUCAGUGGAAAAGCAAUGUUCUUGGACGCCUGGGAGGCCGUGGAGGAGCUGAUGGACGAGGGGCUGGCAAAAGCCUUUGGGGUCUCCAAUUUCAACCACUUCCAGAUAGAAAGGCUCUUGAACAAACCUGGACUGAAAUAUAAACCAGUGACUAACAGGCUGAGUGUCACCCAUACCUCAUGCAGGAGAAACUGAUCCAGUAUUGCCACUCCAAGGGCAUCACCAUUAUGGCCUACAGCCCCUUAGGCUCUCCAGACAGAUCUUGGGCCAAGCCAGAGGACCCUUCCCUGCUGGAGAACCCCAAGAUUAAGGAGAUUGCUGCAAAGCACAAAAAACUGCAGCCUGGGUUCUGAUCUGUUUCCAUAUCUAGAGGAAUGUGAUUAUGAUCCCCAAGUCUGUGACACCAGCACGCAUUGUUGAAAACAUUCAGGUCUUUGACUUUAAAUUGAAUGAUGAGGAGAUGGCAACCAUACUCAGCUUCAACAGAAACUGGAAGGCCUGUAACAUGUUGCAAUCCUCUCAUUUGGAGGACUAUCCCUUUGAUGCAGAAUACUGAGGUUGAAUCUCCUGGUGAGAUUACACAGGGGAUUCUCUUUCUUCGCUGAAGUGUGACUAUCUCCACUCAAGUCCUAUUUUAGCCAAGCUUAUCUGAGAUCACAGGAAACUUCGUUCUAUUGUAGGCCAGAAUCAAGGUGCUGUUUUAGACAUUUAUUUCUGCAUGUUCAACUAGGAUCAGAAUAUCACAGAAAAGCAUGACUUGAAUAAGCAAAUGACAAUUUUUUCCACAUAUCUGGUCUGAACAAAUGUUUGUUAAGCACCAGAAACUCUGCCAACACUGAGGAUGUAAAGAUAAAUAAUAAAAAAUAAUGAUGGUAA